CUUUGUUUGUUUCUCCUGCCCCGACAAUGGCAAGUCACAGGCCCCGUGCCCAAGGCCACGGUGCAGGCGCAGACUUCCAGGGAAAUCGCAAAGGAAAGGUAGAAAUCCCUAGGAAGGAAGGAGCGACAGCGGCUGAGGUGGCUGCAGCCCAAGGACAACAGACCUCAUCAGUAUGGGACAUGCAGCAGCUGUAAGAGGCUACAACAAAGUGGCUGUGACUCCAAGAAUUGGACAUGAGCCGUGAGAGCCCUUCUCUCACUUCCCAUGGGAACACUGCUGUGGGUAGAGAGAGACCCCUGCCAUCUGCAGGCAGAGCUGUUUCUGGUGGUUGAGAGCUGGGGACUAAGCUCUUCUCAAAGUUCAAGAUGGCCAUUCCUCUCCCACAGCGCGUCAACCAACGCAGCACGGAGUGAAUGUCUGGGACCUGAGGCUGAGACGCGAGAAGCCUCCCAGACGCCACUUGCCAGCUUGGAGGAGGGAGGGAAUGGAGAGAACUGAGCAUUUACUUCAUAUCCGCAUCCCCACAACCUCUGGCUUAUCCCACAUUUGAGAACGUUCCUUAAUAGGAAAUAAAAUCUGAUAGGAAACAGAAGUGCCUUUUCAAUCACCAAAAAAGCAUUUUGGGGCUGCCUGGGUGGCUCAGUGGUUUGGGGCCUCUGCCUUCGGCUUGGGUCAUGGUCCCAGGGUCCUGGGAUCGAGCCCCGCAUGGGGCUCUCUGGUUAGCAGGGAGCCUGCUUCCUCCUCUCUCUCCCUGCCUACUUGUGAUCUCUGUCUGUCAAAUAAAUAAGUGAAAUCUUUAAAAAAAGCAUUUUUUGAUGGUAAAGGAGGUGUAUCCCCCUCCCAGGGUGGGAUGGAAAGAACCAGCUGGAAGCUUCCCCAUGCACUGGGCUAGCGUGGGUAGAUAACCCUGGCAUUUGUGGAGGCCAGACCUGGGCAGUCACGGCACCUCUCCCCUUCCACACACAAACAAGUGACUGGACUCCUGAGCUCUGACCUGUUAGGCUCUCAGUCACUUUUUGUUGUUGUUAUGGACGGAUGUUUGUGUCCUCCUUCUCCCAACCAUGUGUUGAAAUGUGCUUCCUUCUGUGAGGGUCUUGGGACAUAGGGCCUUUGGGAGCUGCUUGGAAUUAGAUGAGGUCCCAAGUGUGGAGCCCUCGUGAGUGGAAACAGUACCCUCAUAGAGUUCACGAGAAAAUCUGCUUCCUAUCCCGGCCCUGCCACACAGUGAGAAGGCAGCCGUGGGCCACCCAGAAGAGGACUCCCUCCAGAGCCACGCUGGCACGCCCACCUUCUACCUCCAGCCUCCUGAACUGUGAGAAAUAACUGCUUAAUUUUUAUGUGCCACCCAGUGGACGGUAUUCUGUGAUCGAAACCUGGGCAAGACAUCGUCAGAAGUCGUGACUGGAUCAGACUGGAGACGGGGCUCAGGAGCUAGGACUUGGAGCACAGGCCAUCUGAGAACUCUGUG
Long non-coding RNA from Mustela lutreola (European mink), 1468 nucleotides. RefSeq lists it as uncharacterized. The transcript has 3 exons. The record is from RefSeq and is a predicted model, not a curated record. Lineage: Eukaryota; Metazoa; Chordata; Mammalia; Carnivora; Mustelidae.